This is a small nuclear RNA of Peromyscus californicus insignis, 183 nucleotides long. RefSeq annotates it as U2 spliceosomal RNA. NCBI's taxonomy places the organism in Eukaryota, Metazoa, Chordata, Mammalia, Rodentia, Cricetidae. The record is from RefSeq and is a predicted model, not a curated record. The transcript has a single exon.
GCAUCUUUAUUAGCCUUUUGGCUAAGAUCAAGUAGAGAAUUCCUUCUUAUGAGUUUAAUUCCUGUUACAUCAUUAAUAUGAAAAUAUAUUAAAUGGACUUUUGGAAUUAUGGUAUGAAAAAGGACAUUACACAUCCUGCCCACAUGUCAACUUAAUAUUGCAUCACUACCUGAAAUAAUUCAC